UACGAAGGGGGCUAGCGUUGCUCGGAAUCACUGGGCGUAAAGCGCACGUAGGCGGACUCUUAAGUCGGUGGUGAAAUCCUGGAGCUCAACUCCAGAACUGCCUUCGAUACUGAGAGUCUCGAGUCCGAGAGAGGUGAGUGGAACUGCGAGUGUAGAGGUGAAAUUCGUAGAUAUUCGCAAGAACACCAGUGGCGAAGGCGGCUCACUGGCUCGGUACUGACGCUGAGGUGCGAAAGCGUUGGGAGCAAACAGG
This 253-nucleotide ribosomal RNA is filed under the name uncultured bacterium. RNAcentral describes it as "partial 16S ribosomal RNA". It matches the Rfam family "Bacterial small subunit ribosomal RNA", at positions 524 to 776 of the family's 1533-position model. The record is from RNAcentral.